UGGGGAUAUACCGGAUAGGUCAAAUCUGCUGGAAUGCUUUUUGGCUGAAACUUCCGGGGCUUUUGGAUGGGUCUGCGGCUGAUUAGGUUGUUGCCGGUGUAACGUACCGUCAAGCCAGUUAUCAGUACGGGUUGUGGGAGCAAGAGCCCGGAGAUGGAUUCUGAGACACGAAUCCAGGCCCUACGGGGCGCAGCAGGCGCGAAAACUCUACAAUGCAGGCAACUGCGAUAGGGGAACAUCGAGUGAUACUCAUAUUGGGUGUCUGUCCAGCCGUCUAAAAAACGGCUGUUAGCAAGGGCCGGGCAAGACCGGUGCCAGCCGCCGCGGUAAUACCGGCGGCUCGAGUGGUGGCCGAUAUUAUUGAGUCUAAAGGGUCCGUAGCCGGCUUGGCAAGUCUCUUGGGAAAUCCGGCGGCUUAACCGUCGGGCGUCCGGGAGAUACUACCUUGCUUGGGACUGGGAGAGGCGUGAGGUACUCAGGGGGUAGGAGUGAAAUCCUGUAAUCCUUUGGGGACCACCGGUGGCGAAGGCGUCACGCCAGAACAGGUCCGACGGUGAGGGACGAAAGCUAGGGGCACGAACCGGAUUAGAUACCCGGGUAGUCCUAGCCGUAAACGAUGCUCGCUAGGUGUCACAGCAGUCGUGAACUGCUGUGGUGCCGUAGGGAAGCCGUGAAGCGAGCCAC
Molecule: ribosomal RNA, 684 nt
Filed under: uncultured archaeon
Lineage: Archaea
Description: bacterial SSU rRNA
Rfam family: Archaeal small subunit ribosomal RNA
Source: RNAcentral